Bolinopsis microptera is the source of this 2661-nucleotide long non-coding RNA. RefSeq lists it as uncharacterized. The record is from RefSeq and is a predicted model, not a curated record. The transcript has 4 exons. Lineage: Eukaryota; Metazoa; Ctenophora; Tentaculata; Lobata; Bolinopsidae.
AUGUUCCGAUGUCCUUUCUGUUUUGUUCGUAAUUUACUCUUGUCUCCCGUAAUGUUAUUUAAAGCAGCUAUCUAACACGUCUCAUCAAUGUUUAAUAAUUGAUACAGCAGUUUUUUCAUAGGAUCUUGUUAUCCUAACUAUUUUGUUUUCCUACUCGUUUUUUACUUUCAGUAUUGGCUUGCCGAUUUGGAACUGCACAAUUGUACAACUGACCACUUAACUCAUCAUCCAAUGGAAGUGUGAACACAUUUACCCACUACGGAUAAUUAAUUUAUGGUUCAAACAUAUUUAUGGUUCAUGCACUAUUUAACGUGUCCUAAGGGUACUCAUUUUAGAUAACAAUCAUUUCAGUACCUCUGCUAAAAAAAUUUGUUUUCCUUUCUAAUGCAGUUUAAUCUCUUGCUUGAUAUAUUUAAAGUCACUAUUGUGAAGGUACAUUAGAACUACAUGCCUUUUUAUCGCUCUACCCUGAAUUAUUUUCCUGAACUAUUAAUUCCGAACUAUAUAUUUCAGCUUGUAAAGAGGAUGUUAUUGCCCACGUUAUGGGGCCUGUUAAUAAUUAACUAAACUAUUAGCUAUUUUAGAUAAGAUAAUAAUAAUAAUAUUAUAACUUUACUAUCACCACAAGAAGCUGACAUGUUUAUAGAUCCAGACUAUGCUUAGAAAGAGUUGCCAAGAUCACCCCAAAGAUCUUCUAAUCAAAGAUGCUCUCACAGGAUGCAGAUGCCUGAUACGAAAUGAAUGAGAAAGAACGCCCUGUUCACCGAAACAACAUUAAUGAACUUGUCAACUAUGCAGGGUAUUAGAAGAAACAAGACGUAGACAUCUUUAAAGCGAAGAUCAACUAUGCUAAAAUGAAGCACAAAUCCAGUGUGGUGGAAUUGGAUCGUUUGAAGGAAAAAUAUCCUCAUGCCUGGAGACGUACGUGCGAAAGACAAAAUUUGCCUAGCUAAAGAAAUUCUAGCUAAGAAAGCAGAGUUCAGAGCAGAUUUGAAGCAGAAAGCUGCCGACCAACAUAAACACCUCUCAGCGCAGCAACACAAAACAAAAAAAGGUGGCACCCAAUCUAUUCACCCAACUCCUGACAGUACAUGGAAUCACCCCAGACAAUUACAGACUUCCUCUGGCGUUUGGUCUUCUCCCUGGAAAGCGGCAAGAACACUACACAAACCUACUAGAAGAACUGGAUCGCUUUGGACCUUUCCAUCCAGACACCGCCCUUUGCGAUUAUGAAGCUGGGCUACGGAACAGUGUCACUGCUGUCUGGCCCGGGGCUACUCUACGUGGCUGCUACUUCCACUUCAAACAGGCUCUAUGGAGAAACUUCGCUCGCUCCGACCUUGUUCCGGAGUAUCAGGUGGUUGGAUCCGACAUCCGGAAAGCCUUCCAACGGAUCGGAGCUCUACCUUUCAUCCCUCCUGGUGACGUCCACUACGCAUGGCAGACCCUUAGAGUUAGACCUAUCCUCUCCGCAGAUAUGGAUGUCUUUACAUUAUACUUUGAGUCCACGUGGAUGGGAACACCAAACAGACCUGCUCGCUUCGAUCACCUGUCCUGGAACCAGUACGAUUGCUGUCUAACUGGUCUCCCACGCUCUUUGAACCUUGCAGAAGGAUGACAUAAUGGCUUCCGCAGCCUCGUCCAGUGUUCAAAUCCUACCAUCUGGAAAUUCCUUGAAGCCCUCAAACUAGAGCAAGGACUAACAGACCAGAAGAUCACGGAUAGGCUGAUGAGAAGACCUCCACCCCAGAGAGCUGCCAAGUGGAUAAGGUACGACUCCCUUCUGGAAUCCUUCAUGCAAGCCUACAAUAACCAGGAGUACGAAGUCAUUGAUUAUCUCUCUGCUGUUUUUGCUGCACUAUGAAUUCGACAUUUGAUUAUUGAUAUUAACGGUUUUAUGAUAUUGGUAUUUAGUUAUACUUUCGAUUGUACUAUAUUUCAACCUUACUGCUAGGUUAUUUGAUCAUUGUUGAACUGUGUUUCAACGAUCAAUGCUUAAAUUAUUAGAAUCUUCAAUUAUGUUAGGCUUGAACUACUGUGAACACAAUAGAGAAUUAGAUAGUCAGCCAGGUCUGUAAUGAUUCCAUUUUAUUUGCAUCAUCCGAAAGUAUUUUGUACCUUUUAUUUGUGAUCUUCAUUGACACAAUAUUUGUAUAUCCAUAACCCUGUAACACGAACAGUUUUAAUAUCAAAACCGAGUCUUAACUGUUAGGUUAUUUAAAAUAGCUGGCAUCGCUUUCGUAAUUGGUGCAUCGUGUGACCACCCAGACCACGGAGAGGAGAUCUCUGUCAUUCCUCUAGCAAAGCAGCCAGUUUAAAUUGAGAAGAGUAGCCCCUGAUGGGUGGUUACAGGUUAUCAGGAAGAGAGAGAGCAUGAACUGGACGAGUUUUGAUUUAAGAUGGUGUAAUUCAGAUAUUAUAGGCUAGGGCAUUGCAUUCAACAAUUUUGGGCCUGCACUUGCAGAUGAAUCUUCGUACAGCGACGGAUUCGCUGCCAAGCUGUGUCUGCAGAUCGAAUGACUGCAAGGUUUCUAAAACAUGGCCAGGAGACGAACUGCAAUGUUGACAACCGUUUACUUAAAGAUUUUAGAGUAAGCAUUUCAUGGGAUGUUUCGACUGUAAUCUUGAAUAUGACUGAAAUGAAUUAUUGAUAGAAUAAAA